RNAcentral lists this ribosomal RNA (301 nucleotides) under uncultured bacterium. Its description in RNAcentral is "partial 16S ribosomal RNA". It matches the Rfam family "Bacterial small subunit ribosomal RNA", at positions 509 to 808 of the family's 1533-position model. The record is from RNAcentral.
CAGCAGCCACGGUAAUACGAAGGGUGCAAGCGUUAAUCGGAAUUACUGGCGUAAAGCGCGCGUAGGUGGUUCAUUAAGUUGGAUGUGAAAGCCCUGGGCUCAACCUGGGAACUGCAUCCAAAACUGGUGAGCUAGAGUACGGUAGAGGGUAGUGGAAUUUCCUGUGUAGCGGUGAAAUGCGUAGAUAUAGGAAGGAACACCAGUGGCGAAGGCGACUACCUGGACUGAUACUGACACUGAGGUGCGAAAGCGUGGGGAGCAAACAGGAUUAGAUACCCGCGUAGUCCCUGUCUCUUAUACA